ACCUCGGGGUUGGGAGGGAGGAUGGAGAGCGCAGCCGGGACCUAAAGCAGCGAGGGCGCCCGGAGAGUGAUAAACAAAACAAAACAAAACGGAAAGGUGAGCUUUUGUAGGGAAAAACAGCGACAAAAAAAUCGGUUGGCUGCUUGGAUUCAAAGCGUCGUGCUUGCUGCCUUUGACCCCCGCGAUGGGCAGUCGGCCGGAGACCAGGAAGGAUUCUGAUGUUAAUGAUUAAAGUUCAGUUCUGGCACCUUUCCCGACAGAGCGAGAUUCAGCUGCAGACAUGUAAAAUCGAAAGUAUGCAAGUAGUCUGAAAGUUUUCCUAAGGGAGCUAAUUUUAUCCCUGAGAUAUUAGCUACCCGCUGUCCGUAAGUCAAAGGACUCUGUUUCCUGGUGCUCCUGAAGUAUUUUGCAGUCCCUCGGACCUCCUCUCCCCUAAGCAAAGGCAGUUGACAUGAUAAUGCGAACUGGGUCAUCUUCUCAUGGUCUCUGGUUUCUUGCUUUUGGGAAGUUCGACCCCGUAGUAGUGAAAUCCAGGGGUGCAGAAAACUUCAGUAGGCAUGGGCAGAUGGGUUGUUUGCCACAUUCCCUGCCAUAAAUGUAAGAUCUGGCAUUUUAAGCAGUGAAGGAAGAAGCAGAGAGGGUCAUUGUAAACUUGUUUUCUGCAGAAAGCAAGUUCUAUAUUGAACUGCGUUUUCUGUGUGACCAUGGGGAUGGUAUCUAUGCCUUGGAUCAGCUGAAGUCAGAAAUGCACUGAACUUCUGACGUCUGAUCUGUUGCACCUAGGCUGAUAGUAUCAGGCUUGCAGUGAGGCAGUAAAUCACUUGGUGAUGCACCUUUGGGAUGAUUCACCCAUCAUUUGGCAUUAAAUUGUCUUCCUUUCAGGAUAUAAUUAAAUUUAAUUAAUUAAAAUCUUUUGAGGUAAAUCAUUCAUGUUUGAGUUCUGAAUUUGGUGUUCCUAGAGGUAUAAAUGUCUCUCUGUGAAAUACGUUCCCACCUUGCACAGUUUAAGUGAAGUCAUUGGGUAAACCAAGGCUGUCAGUCACAGACAGACAGCUACGUGAGGAAGACGUGCACAUUAAAAGAAAAUUCGAGCUUUAAUAUCAGUUAUACAAUUUCAAGUCUUCCAUAGCAACCCUGAAUUGUUCUAAAGUUGUCCUGUGUGUGCAGGAUAAGUUGCUGUAUUCACAUCAAGGCUCCUUAAUGUGAUCUGGAGCUGUUAAUUAUGUUACGGAGCUGUCACACUAUUAACCACUCUUUCUGUGCUAUGCUGGCUGCAGAUUGCUCCCGAUCGGUGCCACCAGGAAACACAAGCAUGCCAUGGAAGCCGAGCUCCUUGUGGCUUUAUUGCCGUGGAUGAACUUUCAGCCAUGCAGGGGUGGCCUUUCGCUGACUGCCGUUCUGCCAGCACUGUCCCCAGCAGCUCCCCAAAGGCGCUGGGGCCUGCUUCUCUCUGGAGAGCCUAGAGCCGGCUCGGUGCGCCCGGGAAAAAUGUGACCCCCCUGGAUCCUCUCCCAAUGCCUUUAAAACCUGCAAGAACUUCUCUCAUCUAAGUCAGGACUGUGGAUCUAGAUGGACAAUCAAGGAAGAAUUACAAGCUCCAAUGAAUUUCUGUUCCCUUGACAAUAAAGUCAGCAUAGCCUAGAUUCUGACUUUGUGAUAAAAAUAAAAUAUACUUUUUUUAUUCUUUUAGGUUAAAUUGUGAACUUUCACACUGUGCAAUCUAAGGAUGCAGCCAGCAUCCAGUACAGCCACAGGUGCAUGUGGCUGGCUUCAUGCUCGCAAGCAGAAGGCCAUUCCCUAUUCUGCCACAAACUGCUUCUGCAGCCCUAGGGAGCAUUUUUAGCUUCUCUGUAUCUCACUUUCCCCCAAGUGAAGAAGGGGUAGUAGAACUUCAUGACAUUCGAAACUAGAUGUAAGUCUGUUGUGCUAGUGAUUAUACAAAGCCUGAAAAUGUAUAAUAAAAACUAAUUUGA
Long non-coding RNA from Cygnus olor (mute swan), 1973 nucleotides. RefSeq lists it as uncharacterized. NCBI's taxonomy places the organism in Eukaryota, Metazoa, Chordata, Aves, Anseriformes, Anatidae. The record is from RefSeq and is a predicted model, not a curated record. The transcript has 2 exons.